UAUUUAGUCUGAGCUUUCACAAUUCCAGGCUCUUGCCAGUCUCAGGAUUUUUCUCGUGAAUGAACCAGGAAGGUCCAAGGUUUUGAACUCCUGAGCUCAAGUGAUCCUCCUGCCUCAGCCUCCAUAGUCGCUGGGACUACAGACAUGUGGGCUUAAAGCCAUCCCUCACUGAUCCCUGCUAGCAGAUGAAUAUAUCGGAAGGUGAUGAGUACGAAGGAGCUUGGCUGCCAGCCAGGCGGUGUCGGAAAAGGAUGGGAAUUAUGUUGUUGUGAACCUAAAGCUGCUCCAGGAAAGUCUAUCGAAAAGUUAAAAACAUUUAAAUAAACAAAUAAAAGGAUGAGAAUGUUGAAAUGCUAAAAGAUCAGUGGUGUGUGGGAUUCUUCGAGCCCUGCAGUUUCAACACAUUUGAGGUGGAAGGGCCAAGAUCGGCCUGCCAUAGCCCUUUGUUUA
RNAcentral lists this long non-coding RNA (450 nucleotides) under Homo sapiens (human). RNAcentral describes it as "HSALNT0357097". Lineage: Eukaryota; Metazoa; Chordata; Mammalia; Primates; Hominidae. The record is from RNAcentral.